CAUUGAGUAGCAAUACAAGCAUAUAUUCUCCCAAACUUGCUUAAGUGUUCUUAUCUUGCUUAAGUGUUCUUAUUGUGUUCUUACUCUUGCGAUUGUUCUUUGCUUGUUUCGAUCUUAUAUUGUAGGAAGGAGGCUGACUUAGCUUGUUCGAGAGGCGAUCAAGUCUAAGGCCGCACGGAAGGAAGACUCCGAAAAAGUCAUCCCGUGACAGUUGGUAUCAGAGCGAAAGCUCGAAUCAUUCAAAGAAGCAUGUCGAAGAGCGGAUCAGAUGUGGAGAUAUACCUGUCCAAGGUCAACGUGGAUCGUGGGGGCAAAUCAAAGAGGGAACGAUCUAGAGAUGUGGUGGCCAUAAUGGAGAAGCGGCUUUCUAAGAUGGAGAUUGCCGUGGUCGAGUUCGAUCAACGACUUGAGGAGGACGUCCUUACGAAGGGGGGCUUCGAAGAUGCAGUGGAUGAGCUUCAAGGCCAAUUCCAGGGAGUCCUCAACUCCGCGCUAGAUGGCAUCAAGCUAGAUGUUCAAACCAAGCUGGAUCACUUCUUAGCGGAGCUUACUUCGCUUCGUGAUGAGAUGAAGGAUGUGAAGGGAGAUUGGGCUUUGUGCAAGGAAGCUGUCUUGAACAAGACCCGAACUCCGAAGGAACCCAAGGUGCUAGAUUCUUUCAAGCCCAAAUCCUAUAAUGGGAAGAGGGAGGCGAAGGAGCUGGACACUUUCUUGUGGAAUAUCGAAAGAUAUUUCAAGUAUCUAAAGCUCGAGGAUGAUGAGCCCAAGAUCAAUGCGGCAACAUUGUUUCUCACCGACCAUGCUCUCAUGUGGUGGCGUCGUCGAUCUAUGGAGAUCGAACAAGGUACGUUUACACUUAAGACUUGGGACAAUUUUAAGAAGGAUAUUAUGUUGCAUUUCUAUCCAGAGAAUGCCAAGUAUGAGGCAAAGGAGAAGCUAAGAUGGCUGAAGCAAACUGGGAGCGUGAAAGACUAUGUCGCCACGUUCACCAACCUGUUGUUCGAGGUGCCUAGUAUGACAGAUGAAGACAAGCUCAUGUACUUCAUGAGUGGCCUACAGAAUUGGGCCAAGCUGGAGUUACAACGGAGACAUGUCCAAACCUUGUCAGAGGCAAUUGCUGCAGCAGAGUCUCUUGUUGAGUUCAAGAGGGAUAGUCAAGGCGACUCCAAGUUCAAAGGAAAGAAAGGUGACAGUGGAUCCGGUGGGGGAGAGAACAAGCCAAAAGAGGGUAGCAAGUCAGGAGACAAGUCUGACGGUCACAAGUCAUCCUGGAGGAAGAAUGACAAAGGUGAUAAGGGGAAAGACAAGUCGAAGCUAGCUUGCUACUUGUGCGAGGGACCGCACAUGAUGCGGGAUUGUCCGAAGAAGAAAGCUCUAAAUGCUAUGAACCAAGAGAAGGGAGAGGAGGCCGAGAGGGAAGCAGGAAUGGGGGCCAUUCGCCGCUUCAAUGCCUUGCAGGCCAAAGCAGCUCAACCACAAGUUCAAGCCAAAGGAGUGAUGUUCGUUGAUGCCAUGGUGAAUGGCAAGACAACCCGUUGCCUGGUGGAUACAGGUGCUUCGCACAACUUUAUGUCCGUGCAGGAAGCAAAGAGGCUUGGGUGUCGAGUCUCGAAGGAAGCAGGCAGUAUGAAGACGGUGAAUUCAACUGCCAAGCCCAUUGAUGGAGUAGCUCGUGGUGUGGAGCUACACCUUGCCACUUGGAAGGGAGUGGCUGACUUCUCCGUGAUCUCGAUGGAUGACUACGAUGUCGUGCUAGGAAUGGAGUUCAUGGACAAGGUAAAGGCAUUUCCCAUUCCAUUUUACAAUACUAUGUGCAUUGCACAAGGUGGAACAAUGCCAUGCAUGGUGCCAGUAGUAAGGCAACAAAGCGAGACGAAGCUUUUGUCGGCCAUGCAAUUUUCCAAGUCUUGGAAGAAGGGCGAACCGACGUUCCUUGCAACUAUGCAGAUGGAUAUAGUUGAGAAGGAAGUCCAACCAGUCCCGAAAGCUGUGGAGGCAAUCCUUAAGGAGUUUGCAGAUAUCAUGCCCAAGGAGUUGCCCAAAACCUUACCACCUAGGAGAGAGGUGGAUCAUGCCAUUGAGCUGGAACCGGGUGCCAAACCCCCAGCCAAAGCGUCAUACCGGAUGGCACCUCCUGAGUUGGAGGAAUUAAGGAAGCAGUUGAAGCAGUUGUUGGACGCUGGGUACAUCCAACCAUCCAAGGCCCCUUAUGGUGCCCCAGUUCUUUUCCAGAAGAAGAGGGAGGGAACACUGAAGUUGUGCAUCGACUACAGGGCACUAAACAAGGUGACCAUCAAAAACAAGUAUCCAAUCCCUUUGAUUGCAGAUUUGUUUGAUCAGUUGGGAGGAGCGAAGUACUUCACCAAGUUGGACUUGCGCUCGGGAUACUAUCAAGUGAGGAUCGCACCGGGAGAUGAAUCAAAGACCACAUGUGUGACGAGAUAUGGGUCUUACGAGUUCCUUGUCAUGCUGUUCGGCUUGACUAACGCCCCUGCAACAUUUUGCACUCUUAUGAACAAGGUAUUCCAUCCUUUCUUGGACAAGUUUGUUGUAGUUUACAUCGAUGAUAUUGUGGUGUACAGCAAUUCUCUAGAGGAACACCUUGAGCAUUUGCAGAAGGUCUUCCAAGUUCUAAGGGAGAACCAGCUCUAUGUGAAGAAGGAGAAAUGCUCAUUUGUCCAAGAAGAGGUUGAGUUCCUUGGUCACAAGAUACGGGGAGGACAAUUGCUCAUGGAGGAGGGCAAGGUGCAAGCCAUUCAAGAAUGGGAACCACCAAUCAAAGUACCUGAGUUGCGGUCUUUCCUUGGAUUGGUGAACUACUAUCGCAGGUUCAUCAAGGGAUAUUCAGCCAUAGCCGCUCCCCUGACGGAUUUGCUAAAGAAGAACAAGACGUGGGAAUAGACACCCCGAUGCCAACAUGCCUUCGAUGAGUUGAAGAGGGCUCUUAUGGAAGAACCAGUGCUGAGACUUCCGGACCUUAGCAAACCCUUCGAGGUACACACUGAUGCAUCAGAUUUUGCUAUUGGUGGUGUACUCAUGCAGGAUGGACACCCAUUGGCUUUCGAGAGUCGGAAGCUCAAUGACACGGAGCGGAGGUAUACCGUUCAAGAGAAGGAGAUGACAGCCGUAGUGCACUGCUUGCGGACUUGGAGGCACUACUUACUUGGUUCUCAGUUCGUGGUCAGGACUGACAAUAUUGCCACAAGCUACUUUCAGUCCCAACAGAAGUUGUCACCCAAGCAGGCUAGGUGGCAAGACUUCUUGGCGGAGUUCGACUACAAACUGGAGUACAAGCAAGGGAAGACAAAUGUCGUUGUCGAUGCCUUAAGUAGGAAGGCCAUACUAGCAGCUGUCACGCAACCCCAGAGUUCUCUCAUGCAGAGAAUACGAGAGGGCUUGUUGCAUGAUCCCCAAGCCAAAAGUCUGUUGGAGCUUGUCAAAGAUGGGAAGAUAAGGAGAUUUUGGCUCGAUGAUGGGGUUCUCUAUGCAACAGGGAAGAGGAUCUAUGUUCCAAGGUGAGACAAUCUGAGGCGAGAACUAAUGAAAGAGUGUCAUGACUCGAAGUGGGCGGGACAUCCGGGCACUCAUCGGACAUUAGCCUUGAUGAGUGAAGCUUACUAUUGGCCACAGAUGCGAGAAGAUGUAGACUCGUUCGUGCGGACUUGCCUUGUAUGCCAACAAGACAAGACAUUGCAGAAGCAGCCGGGUGGGUUGCUAGAGCCACUUCCUGUUCUAACCAGACCAUGGGAGAGUUUGUCCAUGGACUUCAUUGUGAGUCUACCCAAGUCAGAAGGGUGUGGCUCAAUUUUGGUGGUGGUUGACAGGUUCACCAAGUAUGCUACCUUCAUCCCCGCAUCGACAGAGUGCAAUGCAGAGGAAGCUGCACGCUUGUUUAUGAAGCAUGUGGUGAAGUACUGGGGGAUCCCCAAGAGUAUUAUCAGUGACCGUGACGGUCGCUUCACUGGUAAACUUUGGACGGAGCUCUUCAAGCUACUUGGCUCACAGUUGAACUUCUCUACCAGCUUUCACCCACAAACAGACGGUCAGACAGAGAGGGUGAAUGCACUGUUGGAGCUAUACUUGAGGCAUUAUGUGAGUGCCAACCAGCGAGAUUGGGCAAAGUUGUUGGAUAUUGCUCAGUUCUCAUACAACUUGCAGCGGUCGGAGUCGACAGGGUCAAGUCCUUUUGAGUUGGCAACAGGACAACAACCCAUAACACCGAACACAGUGGUGUCAGGCUACACGGGGAGUAGCCCUGCUGCAUACAAAACGGCCAAGGAGUGGCAGGUGACUAAUGAGCUGGCUCGGGCUCAAUUGGAAAAGGCAACUCGGAAGAUGAAGAAAUGGGCAGACAAGCAUCGACGGGACGUUGUGUUCCAACCAGGUGAUCAGGUCUUUGUAAAGCUCAACCCUUCUCAACACAAGUCCACUAGAAGAUUGCACAAAGCAUUAUUGAGGAGAUAUGAGGGUCCAUUUCCCAUCAUCCGAUCAGUGGGAAGAGCUGCUUACCGUGUGGAACUACCACCUCGACUGAAGAUUCAUCCGGUGUUCCACGUAAGCAAUCUCAAGCCCUACCAUGCUGACCCCGAGGAGCCAAGUCGUGGAGAAUCUCAACGAGCUCCACCUUUGAUGGUGACUUCAUUUGACAAGGAGGUUGAGUGCGUCAUGGCCAAGCGAGAGGUACGACGCAAGGGUGUACCGAGGUACUUUGAGUACUUUGUCAAAUGGAAGGGCCUGCCAGAGUCCGAAGGCAAUUGGGAGAAAGAAGAGUCCUUGUGGAACUACAAGGACAGUAUUGAAGCAUUCGAACGAGACGGAUCUACCACGGCAACGAGGACGUUGCCGGAUUAGGUGGGGGAGAAUGUCACGGCCCGCAUGUUCAAGGCCCAUGUUCAAGGCCCAGCCCGUUGGAUUGAUCAUGCUAGACCUCUUAGCCCACUUGUCCACCUACUAGAAUAGUAUAUAAGAAUGGUAGGUGGGAAUGGUAGGUGAGAAUGUUAGGUGAGAAUGUUAGGUGGGAAUGGUUGGUGGGAUGGGGCCCGCAUCUUUGCCACCUACCAUGGUAGGAAUGUGUAUAUAAGGAGGAUCUCACAUUGUGAAUCCUCACCUCACAACUUGUAAAGCAUUGAGUAGCAAUACAAGCAUAUAUUCUCCUAAACUUGCUUAAGUGUUCUUAUCUUGCUUAAGUGUUCUUAUUGUGUUCUUGCUCUUGCGAUUGUUCUUUGCUUGUUUCGAUCUUAUAUUGUAGGAAGGAGGCUGACUUAGCUUGUUCGAGAGGCGAUCAAGUCUAAGGCCGCACGGAAGGAAGACUCCGAAAAAGUCAUCCCGUGACACUGGGACCAUCUAUAUAUAUGCAUCACUUGAAAGCCUUGCCCAUCAAGGAGCUGUCAAGUGUUCCUAGUUGCAUUAGGAUUAGGUUGUUCAAUCCAUAUAGAAUUAGGAAUUCCAUUGUCUCUUGUAUUUCAAUUAGGAUAGCUUUUAUACAAGGAUAAUCUGAUUAGUUUGAGUAUAUCUCUAAACAUGCAAAACUCUAGAAUCCCUACAUGAUUAGAAGACCACAAUUUCGUGGUUAAGACAAUAAUUUGUCUUACAUUCUCCCAGUUUCAUCAAACCUUCCAUAAUAUUCUCCACCCCUAUCUGAACGAACUACUUUGAUUUUGAGGUUCAAUUGAUUUUCUACUUCAGCUUUGUAUAUUUUGAACAUAUCUAAAGCACUUGAUUUUUCUUUUGUGAGAUAAACAUGUCCAAAUCUUGAAAAAUUGUCUGUGAAAGUUAUGAAGUAGGUGAACCCUUCAUGAGUUGGAUUAGGAAAGGGACCACAGAUAUCUGUGUGAAUGAGUUCCAAAACACCUUUGCUUCCUAUGGCUCCCUUUUUUCUUAAAUUUGUCAAUUUCCCUUUGACACAUUCAAUGCAUAUUUCAUUUUGACUGUCAUGAUUCAUUGGUGGCAAGAUCGAUUCUUUGCAUAGUUGAUUAAUCCUUUCUCUUGAGAUAUGACCAAGUCUUUUAUGCCACAAUUCAUAGGAGACUCCAUUACUAGUUUUGGUUUGCACAGUGUUAACUUCAAAAUCUGUUCUUUUGCAAUUUAAUUGAAACAUUCCAUCAACAAGUCUUGCUUUGCCAAUCAACUCUUUAUUCUUGAAAAUAGAACAACCAGUGCCAUCAAAAUUCAAAUUAAAUUUUGAUUGUACAAGUCUAGUAACUGAAAUUAAACUCUUCUUCAUAGAAAGAAUGUAAACUACUUCAUCUAACUCCAAAAUAAAACCAAAAUCUAAUUCAAUCCUAACUGUUCCUAUGAACUCUACUUGAACUUUUUCUCCAUUGCCAACGAACACCUUCACUUCAUCCUUGCUUGGCAAUCUCCUCCUUAUGAAUCCCUGCAAAGAAUUAGCUACAUGAAUUGAAGCACCACUGUCUAGCCACCAUGAAUCAUGAGAGAAAUCAACCAAAUUUGAUUCAAAACAAACUAGAAUCUGUUCAGAGUUACCUUUAGUUUUCUGCUUGUCUAGCCACUUUUUGUAUUUUCUGCAUUCUUUCUUCAUGUGCCCUGGUUUCUUACAGAAGAAACACUUCAUUCCAGUUGAUGGUUUUAGAUACUUUUCAGUGCUGCUGCCUUUUCCAGUCAUUGCAUUGUGUCUAUUUUCCUUUUUCUCUUUGGUUUGAACCCUGUUCACCAUUUUUGCUCCUCUUUCCCUUAUGAUGUUGUGUUCCUGUUGAACACAGAUGGUAAUCAAAUCAUUCAAUGUCCAGCAUUCUUUCUGAGCAAUGUAGGUUUCUCUAAGAGACUUGAAAUCCUUUGGCAAUGAGUUUAAGGCAAAAUGCACCAUCAUGUCCUCAUCAACUGUCAUCUCUAGUUCCUGCAAUUUGGUUCCUAUGUCAAUCAUAUUCAGAAUAUGAGCCCUCACACAGCCUUGUCCAUCAUACUUCAUGUCUAUCAACCUGUUCAACAAAGUGCUCUUGACUGCUUUUUCAGAUUCCUUAAACCUUUGUGCAAUUGCCUCAUAGUAUUUCUUAGCAGUUUCUGAUUUUGGAAUGCUACCUUUGACUGAUGAUAUCAUAGCCCUCUGCAUAAUUAGUAUUGCCAUCUUAUUUGCUUUAUUCCAUUUAGCAAACUUAGUUUUAGUUUCUGCAGAGGCAUCUGCAGCAGGCUCUUGAGGAGGAUCCUCUUUUAAAACAAAGUCAUAAUCCAGAAAACCAAGAGAUAUUUCCAGAUCCUGCUUCCAUUUCUGGUAAUUUGAUCCAGUAAGAGUUUCGAUGGUGUUGUGGUUCACUGUAAAGAUUUUUUAUAUAAAAUCAGAUAAGUAAAACUGUCCCCAAAACUUUACUCAAAUAUGUCAGUUUAUACCUGUGGGUUUAAAAAGCCAUAUUCCAAAAUCCCAACCAGCAAACUGUAUAAACUUCCUGCGCAAGAAGUCUCACAUCUGUGGAUGUAGAGAGAACUGCUAGUUUAUGCAGUCUGUUGCUCAGAUUGUUCCAUCAGUAUCGUUAUCAAUCUAUAAGAUUCCCAUCUGUGGAUGGAGAAAAAUACAGAAGGCUACUUAUACUGAUGCAAAUUUUUGAUCAAACUUUCGUUUCAAGAUUUCUCAUACAAACUGAGUAGCUGUGGCUUACUCAGUCUGUGUAGUAAAUCUCAAAACUUGAUCAAAAGCCUUUUGCAGUAUGAUCGAGCAGAAACUUUAUGCUCUUGAUCAUACUUAAAACAAAUAAGAUAUGCAGAACAAUGAAAAUAUCAUGUGACUGUAAUUAGAACAGCAAAAAACUUUAUGCAGAUUCUUACAAAACAUAGAUUAGAUUAAGAAACAAAAGCCUAGAGCUCUGAUACCACAUGUUACUCCAUACCAGGUUUUUAUAUCUCAACACUAACCUUGUUCUGACAUCUUUGGCUGUAGAAGAUCUUCUUCUCUAUGCAACACUUUAGUGCUAAUUCUCCAGAUGGGGUGAGAGCUGUGUGUUUUGCGUUAUUGUUGCUAGAGAAGGGACCAUCUAUAUAUAUGCAUCACUUGAAAGCCUUGCCCAUCAAGGAGCUGUCAAGUGUUCCUAGUUGCAUUAGGAUUAGGUUGUUCAAUCCAUAUAGAAUUAGGAAUUCCAUUGUCUCUUGUAUUUCAAUUAGGAUAGCUUUUAUACAAGGAUAAUCUGAUUAGUUUGAGUAUAUCUCUAAACAUGCAAAACUCUAGAAUCCCUACAUGAUUAGAAGACCACAAUUUCGUGGUUAAGACAAUAAUUUGUCUUACAAUGUUAACUGUGGGGUUCUUUAUUUUGGCUUACCACUACAGAGAAAACAAAACUUCUGACAUUUGAUAUAUGACUUUGAGAUAGCAUAGUGCCACUUUGCUACUGAAUUUACUAUGUUGUAUGCUAGGCUGCCAGCUUAUCGGUUUUGGAGCCAUACAAGGAAAAAGAAAAAUCAUAAUUUUCAUCGGUUUUGCUGGAAGGGGAAUAUUCCACAAAAAAACAGGAGGCCGAUUCAACAAUAUUAGCUUCUGGUUCCUCAUAAAUUGUCAAUGAAACCCAAUGCAACGCAGGCUUCAAAAAAUAAAAAAGCUAUGUCCAGUACU
RNAcentral lists this long non-coding RNA (8554 nucleotides) under Prunus persica (peach). Its description in RNAcentral is "long non-coding RNA (PPER_LNC006409)". The record is from RNAcentral. Lineage: Eukaryota; Viridiplantae; Streptophyta; Magnoliopsida; Rosales; Rosaceae.